ACAUAGGUGCCAUUAGGCACCACAUCAGCAAAAUAUCAAUAAACG
Nelumbo nucifera (sacred lotus) is the source of this 45-nucleotide non-coding RNA. Lineage: Eukaryota; Viridiplantae; Streptophyta; Magnoliopsida; Proteales; Nelumbonaceae. The record is from Rfam.